AAUUUCCAUGGCGUCACCAACACUCCUAACCCCCACCUCCAAACCAACACCUCUCUCUACCACCACCUCCAAAGCCUUCAUUGUCUCCACAGUCAGUCCUCCACCCCCACCACAACACCACCAACAACCUCUUCGCCGCCACUUCUUGUCGUUAGCCACUAUUAUCCUCACUCCACCAUUGCUAUCACCGGUGGCUCCAGCCCAUGCUGCAUCUGAUGAAGAGUACGUGAAGGAUACCGAAGUAGUUAUCAACAAGGUCAGAACCAC
This 267-nucleotide long non-coding RNA is filed under the name Manihot esculenta (cassava). Its description in RNAcentral is "long non-coding RNA (MESC_LNC004921)". Lineage: Eukaryota; Viridiplantae; Streptophyta; Magnoliopsida; Malpighiales; Euphorbiaceae. The record is from RNAcentral.